UUAGAAUGAGAAAUGAUACCAGUGGCU
Molecule: non-coding RNA, 27 nt
Filed under: Cricetulus griseus (Chinese hamster)
Lineage: Eukaryota; Metazoa; Chordata; Mammalia; Rodentia; Cricetidae
Source: RNAcentral